UACGGGGGGAGCAAGCGUUGUUCGAAUUUACUGGGCGUAAAGGGCGCGUAGGCGGCCACCGCAAGUCGACUGUGAAAUCUCCGGGCUUAACUCGGAAAGGUCAGCCGAUACUGCGGGGCUAGAGUGCAGAAGGGGCAACUGGAAUUCUCGGUGUAGCGGUGAAAUGCGUAGAUACCGGAAGGAACACCAGUGGCGAAGGCGAUCUGCUGGCCUGUUCUUGACGCUCAGGCGCGAAAGCUAGGGGAGCGACCGGG
This 254-nucleotide ribosomal RNA is filed under the name uncultured bacterium. Its description in RNAcentral is "partial 16S ribosomal RNA". It matches the Rfam family "Bacterial small subunit ribosomal RNA", at positions 524 to 776 of the family's 1533-position model. The record is from RNAcentral.